AGCAGCCGCGGUAAUUCCAGCUCCAAUAGCGUAUAUUAAAGUUGUUGACAGUUAAAAAGCUCGUAGUUGAAUUUCGGAGUUUGUCGGUUGGUCGGGCUUCACUGUUCGCACUGGCCUGAUGGACUCCUACCUUCUGAAUAACCAGCAUGCUAUUAAUUUAGUGCGUUGGGGGAAGCAAGAGCUAUUACCUUGAAAAAAAUUAGAGUGCUUAAAGCAGGCUUACGCUUGAAUAGAUUAGCAUGGAAUAAUAAAAUAGGACGGCGUGGUUCUAUUUUGUUGGUUUCUAGGAUCACCGUAAUGAUUAAUAGGGAUAGUUGGGGGCAUUAGUAUUCAAUUGUCAGAGGUGAAAUUCUUGGAUCUAUUGAAGACUAACUUCUGCGAAAGCAUUUUGCCAAGGAUGUUUUCAUUAAUCAAGAACGAAAGUUAGGGGAUCGAAGACGAUCAGAUACCGUCGUAG
RNAcentral lists this ribosomal RNA (457 nucleotides) under uncultured Acaulospora. Its description in RNAcentral is "SSU rRNA". It matches the Rfam family "Eukaryotic small subunit ribosomal RNA", at positions 569 to 1023 of the family's 1831-position model. Lineage: Eukaryota; Fungi; Glomeromycota; Glomeromycetes; Diversisporales; Acaulosporaceae. The record is from RNAcentral.